RNAcentral lists this ribosomal RNA (83 nucleotides) under Vibrio parahaemolyticus. RNAcentral's name for it is "partial 16S ribosomal RNA". The stretch from base 1 to 74 matches the Rfam family "Bacterial small subunit ribosomal RNA", at positions 1460 to 1533 of the family's 1533-position model. Lineage: Bacteria; Pseudomonadati; Pseudomonadota; Gammaproteobacteria; Vibrionales; Vibrionaceae. The record is from RNAcentral.
CUUUGUGGUUCAUGACUGGGGUGAAGUCGUAACAAGGUAGCGCUAGGGGAACCUGGCGCUGGAUCACCUCCUUAAACGAUGAU